GGAUUAGAUACCCUGGUAGUCCACGCCGUAAACGAUGAGCACUAGGUGUUGCGGGUAUUGACCCCUGCAGUGCCGUAGCUAACGCAUUAAGUGCUCCGCCUGGGGACUACGGCCGCAAGGCUAAAACUCAAAGGAAUUGACGGGGGCCCGCACAAGCGGUGGAGUAUGUGGUUUAAUUCGACGCAACGCGCAGAACCUUACCCGGGCUUGACAUCGAGGGAGAGGCCCUUAGAAAUAAGGGCCCUCAUCUUCGGAUGACCCAAAGACAGGUGCUGCAUGGCUGUCGUCAGCUCGUGCCG
This 299-nucleotide ribosomal RNA is filed under the name uncultured bacterium. RNAcentral's name for it is "partial 16S ribosomal RNA". It matches the Rfam family "Bacterial small subunit ribosomal RNA", at positions 775 to 1067 of the family's 1533-position model. The record is from RNAcentral.